GAGAAAGUGGGGAAAUGAGGCUGUAGCAUCUAUGGCUCACCAGAAAUCCGAUUUGGCAGUCGGUGGUGGAAGAAGAGGCUGGGAUGGGGGAGUUCACAAGCGGCACCUGAGCUUGUGGCUAGCGGCAAUGGCGGGCGGGGAUUCUUCAAUCCCCACCGGAGGAGCCAUGGCCGGCGCUGCUGAGUGGUGGCGGAUGGAGUUUGGGAUGUGGGGAAGGC
Molecule: long non-coding RNA, 218 nt
Filed under: Setaria italica (foxtail millet)
Lineage: Eukaryota; Viridiplantae; Streptophyta; Magnoliopsida; Poales; Poaceae
Description: long non-coding RNA (SITA_LNC006848)
Source: RNAcentral